RNAcentral lists this ribosomal RNA (301 nucleotides) under uncultured bacterium. Its description in RNAcentral is "partial 16S ribosomal RNA". It matches the Rfam family "Bacterial small subunit ribosomal RNA", at positions 509 to 807 of the family's 1533-position model. The record is from RNAcentral.
CAGCAGCCGCGGUAAUACGGAGGGAGUUAGCGUUGUUCGGAAUUACUGGGCGUAAAGCGCACGUAGGCGGUUAUUCAAGUCAGAGGUGAAAGCCCGGGGCUCAACCCCGGAACUGCCUUUGAAACUAGAUGACUGGAAUCUUGGAGAGGUCAGUGGAAUUCCGAGUGUAGAGGUGAAAUUCGUAGAUAUUCGGAAGAACACCAGUGGCGAAGGCGACUGACUGGACAAGUAUUGACGCUGAGGUGCGAGAGCGUGGGGAGCAAACAGGAUUAGAUACCCGCGUAGUCCCUGUCUCUUAUAC